Molecule: ribosomal RNA, 227 nt
Filed under: uncultured bacterium
Lineage: Bacteria
Description: partial 16S ribosomal RNA
Rfam family: Bacterial small subunit ribosomal RNA
Source: RNAcentral
GAUCAUGGCUCAGGAUGAACGCUGGCGGCGUGCCUAACACAUGCAAGUCGAGCGAGAAAUCUUGGAAUGAGACUUCGGUUAAAUGAAGAGAUGGAAAGCGGCGGACGGGUGAGUAACGCGUAGGCAACCUGCCUUAUGCAGAGGGAUAGCCAUUGGAAACGAUGAUUAAAACCUCAUAAUGCCAUUUUAUCACAUGGUUGAGAUGGUCAAAGAUUUAUCGGCAUAAG